Long non-coding RNA from Anopheles gambiae (African malaria mosquito), 5844 nucleotides. RefSeq lists it as uncharacterized. NCBI's taxonomy places the organism in Eukaryota, Metazoa, Arthropoda, Insecta, Diptera, Culicidae. The transcript is spliced from 2 exons. The record is from RefSeq and is a predicted model, not a curated record.
CUAGAGCUGGCUAGCGCGCUUCUAUCGCGAAUAAGUUUUGCGCGAACCCCUUGCGCAUCAUGAAAACAGAAGUUCGGUGGGGGACGAAGGAGGCGCCAGCCCAACGGCUGUAAUUUCGUGUCAUUGCGUGCGGCGAUGAGAGAGAGAGAGAGAAGGUAAGCGCGGUCAAGCAUGUUUUUUUAGGCGAGUUUUAAACUUUAAGCACAUAAAACACGUAGCAUUCGGUUUGGUGUGAUGCAUCGCGCCUUCCUACGCCCACCCCCCCCUCCCCCGUUGUCGCAUUGUGACAAUGCAUUGUGGGGGCCAGAGCGCGUACAGUGCAUUAUGAGCGGCGCGAAUAAACAACGCUAGCACGUUGAUCUCGACGACACCGUCAAUCGUAUGUAAUCGUUAAUGAGCAUGAGCAUAUUGGAGCUUGAUUGAUUGUUCAAAGGUGCAGGCGGCAAAACCCCAUUAUCUACAAUCAGGUGCUCGUGAUUGUGAGCGAAGAACACACAAACACAUUUCAUAAAUAUUUGAUGAAUAAUUUGAGUCCUCCGUGGAUGCGUCAAUUGUUUCAAACGCUGUCAUUUCUCAUUUCCUUCCGAUCUCUAGGCCAAUCGCUUUCCAGAGACCGAUAAAACUGACAGAUGAAUUACCAUUCCGGUACCGGUCUGUGUGUGUAUAUGUGUCUAGUUCAGAUAAAAAAUAACAACAACGCAUUGCCAUCUUUCCCUGCCGAGAUUAUUCCAGAGUUGGCGAUUAUUUUGCAUCAGCCCGUGCGCCCGACCUGACAAAAAUGGAAACCGGCGAGCGGAGAGCUUUGACAGCGAAGCGCAGGGAAGGUGUGUGGAUAGGAGCCACGGCGGAGCCAGUUGCUAGGUAGAAGACCGGUUCCUACUCCCUUGUACGUAUUCCCUCCCCAUUGGGUUUGGUUCAAAAAACCACACUCAACAGGUAAGCGCCGGGUUUGGCCAGACACGGCCAGUUCCCGAGCCGUCGCCUUUGCACUCACACCGCACCACCAUUAACACACGGUUUCCCCGGUCGCGUCGUGUGUCUCCGUUGCUGCCGGUUGGAACUGGUUUUGCGAUCGUUUACAUACCCAGAGCACCGCUUCUCACCUCCUCCCGUAAGUCAUCGCGCUACGACGCAGGGGAUUAUUUCAAUUUCGCACCACUCAUUUAUAUUUGCGUGUAAAAUCCCCACCCGGCACACCGACGAUUUGCGUUCGGUGCUUUCGAACUCUCUCGUGUUUGCGCCUCAUCCUUCCCACCGGCCGGUCUGCUGCUGCUGGCCGAAACACUGCUGCACCGUUUGCUAUUGUGUCUUCUAAUACCUUCUUUUUUCCAAACGGUGGAAUAACAACCAGGGGGCUAUGGUAGGGCCGGCUCAAAGGAAGCGGGAGAACAAAAAUACCCGAUGAUCCAGCGAAACAAAAAACAAAGAUCAAGUUUGUGUUAAUACCCUCGUCGAUCAUGAAAAAGUGGGGUUUCUUUUUGUUUUGCUGCGAGAUAAAUAUUUAUGAUGGCCAAUCGGUGAAACAAACAACACACACACACGCACGCACACAACGACAGAGCAGUAGGUUGGCUAAUAAUGGGGGAUAUUUUGUCCACCCAGCAUUUCGGUCACGUGCCAAACACCAUGCCAUACAAAUGGGCAACAUCAUCAUCACCGGUAGGGACGAGAAUUUCAAACGGGGUUUUAAAGUGUGGAACGGUGUUAUCGAUAUAAACAAAAAAAAACAUUCGAUUAAAUGCUCCACUGCUGUUUGUGUGGAUUGUAGAAUUGUAUGAACAACAUUCAGGGUUCAUAAGUUCACUACCACCCAACAAAGAGAGAGCCAUGCCAACAAAUUGCGCGACCUUCAUGCUAUUUUUUUUUUUUUUUUUAAUGAUUCCAGGCGAAGGGGUUAAACAAAAAACGGCAAUAAUACGAUUUCUCUUUGCUCAAUGUCAAAGCGCGAAUGCAUUUCGACGAACGACAAAGAAAUAGUAAUAAAAAAAAACAGAACUCCACUCAUGGUCAAUGUCAGCCAGUACACGGAGAAGCUGCUGCUGUUGUUGUUGCGUUUAGCAGUGCCGUUGGUGUGAGAAGUGAAGGGAGAACCUUCUCGGUGGAAGAGCUCUAGGAAAAGGAUACAACAUGCCGUUGAUUACCAUUAUAAUUGCUGUUGCGUAUAGAUACAACUUAAAUUACUGACGUUCAGGAUUGUUUGAAUUGCAAAAUCCCGACUGAAAUGCAAAAACCAAAAUGUUGUUGUGUCCUAUUCCUGCUUUUUUUUUGUUGCUUCGUUACGAUUGGAGCAUCAUCUCUAUUUGUAAUUGCUAGCAUAAUUAUACCACAGCCUAGCUUGCACGUACACAUCGCACCAGAACGAUGGCGUAAGAGAAUCUCUUCCUCCUUCCGCCCUCCCAAACAGUGUAAUCGACAGCAAGAUUGCAUUACAUUAUUGUCGCUGCAACUGUUAAAGACACCAAAACAAGGGUUUGAUUAUCUCAUGGCAGCAGCGCCGCGUUACAUCGAUCGUCCUCAAGGGGUUGACAUCUCGCCACUGCCGGCCGAAGCAGCAGUUCAAUCCGGAUCGUGCAGCAAACCAACCCCGUGAUGAAUGGUAUCGAUUGAAGCAUUGCACACUGCCAUUGGUGGUGGUGGUGGGCCUGCGGAACCCCAAACGGAGCAGAGCAGAGUGUGUUUUUGUAAGAAUGCGCAGACGCCGCACCCGCAGCAGAGCUCUUUCGCGGUUCGCAAUGUGUCAAAUACGGCCGCUUAGCUGUGUGCGUUGUGUAUGUGGUGGUGGUGAUUGCGUUUGUUACUGCAACAUGAACCUCCGGCUCGCACACUCGUGUACACACGCACACAGUGUGUAGCAACCGAUCUCGGACACGUGCGAUGCGGUGCAUUUCGUAUUGUGGUGCGGAUUGCACGUUUUAUUGUCUUGCAUGCGUGGAAAACAAUCCGAUCUAUCUCACUGGUUGAUUCCCCGUGACGCAACUCUGUGGCAUUGAUGAUAGGCUCUAAAAAAUAACAAAAAUACAUUUUUUUUAAUUAAAUCAAUUUCACUACUCCGACCAGUGUGUGUGUACGAGUUCAACCGUGCACGGCAACCGUCCGUCCAUCAGGCCAUGCCGCCGCAUCCGGAUCUGGUUCAUUCUGGAAAUUUACCGACCGCGUGCUAAAAACGAUGGUAGAAAAGGAUGAUUCAUGCGUGGUGUUUUUGCUGAUAGGCGCACGGGCGCACUGAGCAUGAGAGGGAAAGGUAUAACGUCACAUAGAAUCAUUUGGAGCGAACCCUAAACGUACGUGAAUCUUCGCUGACGGAACUAUGGAUGAUUUUAAACUCUUGUUAGGUAACCCAAAAGCAACUCAACCACUGUACAAAGGGAAAGGGUUUAUUUAGAUGCCACAAAAAUGUGUCCGCCUUUUGACAGCCUGAGAAGUAGGGCGAGAAGGCACCUACCAUGUGGUUCGUAAAUUAUCAGAUAACACCGUAUCAGGUGAGUGUGUUUGUUGUGUGUGGUGCCCGGUGGUCGCCGGUACCGCAAGUAUGACACGGUUUCGUGAAGUUUUUUUUUGUGUGUGUCACUUUUCAAGCAUCAAAACCCGGGACUACCUCAAUAAGGCACCAUUUGCACUACCGGGGAAUGGCGACGAUAACGAAACGCGUGGAUAGAACAACUACGAGCAGCGAACGGCAGCAGUACCUGCCGUGGUACACCAAUAACACCUGUGCCUCGCCAGAGUUCAACAUGGCGCACCAAAACAAAUGCACUUUACGCAUCGCAGUAGGCAUAGGAAAAUGGAAAAGAACGUCAAGUAGCGUGCAUUAAUCGCUGCUACCAUUGCACGGGUGGGGCAACGCCGUUCAUUCACAACGAAGGUCUUGGGAGGGUUAAUGCGGCGGCUAAUUGGACAGCCCGGCCGCCGCCGCCGCCGCCGCCGCCGCCGCAACCCGAUUCAUUAACGGUCAGCAGACGGCAGGCGACCCCUUUGCUGAUAUGCCCAGCGUUCGGGUGUGUCACCUAAUAUGUUUGCUCAAUAUGUGCGCGAACAGGCCCCGAACAGUUUGAGUCCGGGAAUCGGUAGCGGCAAUGGCAGGGCGCGAUCGCCCUCCACGCCAUAGAGCGGGUUGUGUUUCCCUUAACCCGGUACACCACGCGACGUUAGAAAACAUUAUGUAUUCGUGCUCUAACGACACCAUUCACGCGCACACACACACACGCGCGCGCUCGCUGACAAAAGCACAUGAAGCGCGUGUCGCGGACAUGGGCGUAGCCUCUCUCUCUUGCGCUGGGUGUGGGCCCCGUGCGAUCGGCGCGGAUCGAGUUUUCUAAUCGAGACACCGUAACCCCGCACGUAUCGCGAUGCUCAUCCGUACAACCCUCCACGGCACCGCUGCAACCAAGCAACUGCGGGCCCCCUCGUAGGCACAGUAGGCCACAGGGGAAGGUCAACAAGAUUUGCGCUCUGUUGUCUGCCCGUCAUCUCUCGUCCCGCAACGCAGUUCUAAUCGUGGAACGCGGAUUGAGGAGUGAGUCUCCAUCGUACUUUUCUUACCAUCCCGCGAAGGCUCCACCGUGUAUAGUAAGGCUCUCUCCGAUUGUACUUCCGACAGGAAAGAUGGACACUCCGUACAGCUCACGGCAAAGGGACAGUUAAAAAAAGCAACCACUUACCUCUUCAUCCAUUGACCGCGCCAUGCUUCUUGACGCCAAUCGCUCGGCACGUCUUGCCCUGGGCUCCCUCUCUCUGACCCGCCCUUUGCGUUAGCGACUGACACACACACGCACACGAGAAGAUUCGGUACCUCGCUCGCCUCUCGUUUGUUGCUCACCUUCUCUCCGCUGGCUGGCUGGCUGGCUGGCUGGCUGGUUGCACCAACGAGUUUCGAUGCAAAAGGACACGGGCGCCCUUGUGUUUUAAGCCCCCCACGAACGGCUCAGAUGAUGUCCUUCACGCGUUCAAGCACUAGGAAAACACCCACCGACACACACGGGCACGCGCUACCGAGAACAAACACACACACACACACGCGCUAUCGAGCGCGCGCGCACACACACACACAGAAUGGAAAAGGGGAGACGAUGGUGCCCCGCACCCGUUCAAUGGUACCGAACGGACGAACGGACGGAGGGAACUGGGAAGGCCCGCUGCCCCGUGUCUGCACUGGUGAGGUGUUUCGCUUUUCCUUGUUACGGUACGCACUUUCGCUUUUCGAUCGCCAGUUGGAUUUUCACCUGUUUUCCCCGACCAGACCCAGACGACUUAAAAAUCUAACAACACGAGCGACCAAACUGUGCGAAGGAAAGGUGCUGUCAUGUCCGACACUGGGCCGAAGGUGAAUAGAGCAUGGGUGUGCGCAGGUAGCUGCGUGACAAAUAUUGUGGCAAGUGGUUUUUUCUUUUUAUAUUUCUCGCAUAUCGCUGUCAGUUUAAGUGUUAAUGUUGGAGUAAAAUUUAAUUUAAAAAUUAAAAAUAUUCAUUUUUUGCAAAAUUGUUGCACCAUGCUAAUAAAAACAGGGAAAAUUCAAUACUCGCAGCAAAUUGUAGACACCUUGGGAGAAAUAAGAACCAUUUCAUUGGAGCACUCAACUCGCCAGCUCAUAAACGCAGCUCACGAACGUUUCCAAAGGGCUGACUGCUGUCGAAAACAUCUCGGUGAAUUCAAACUGAUUCAAAAUAACGGUUUCCAAAUAUGUGCAUAUGUAUUUUAAAAAAGAUUUCUUUCUAAUGAGAUUUCUACAAAUAUUUUUAAUUAAAUUUGUUCUCAAUUGUUUUUUAAUGUUGGAAAAUAGUUUUUAUUUUGAAAUUUCAAAACAAUAAACUAAUUUGAGGCAAGUUUACUAAAGCUAAAGCAACAAAA